GUCAUACCCCGUGUCCAAUCAGAAACGAGCAGGUGAUGUUCAUUAAGGACCUAACCUUUCCAUUUUGAGUUAAUGUUGUGUUUUUUAUUUUUCUGUUGUGUUUUUGAUUUUGCUGUUAUUUUAUUUGCUGUUGUGUUUUUGAUUUUGCUGUUAUUUUAUUUGCUGUUGUGUUUUUGGUUUGUCAAAGUGUUUUGCACUUUAGGGCCACUGUAAUUUUGGGUUUGCAAUCAGUUACAACGGCGAUGGUCAAAAAAAGGUUGAGAAAACAGUCACUGUUUGUAGACACUGCUCGACGCGAAUGCCGUAUUCUCAUGGCAAUACAUCUAAUAUGACGAGUCAUCUAUGCCAUCAUCACCCGGGGAUUGAUAGAGCGUGGGUAUGAAGCCCGUUUCCGCCCCGGAGAAAAACGUUAAAAAAGGUUAUUGUGACUUUAUAUCUCAGAAUUUGGACUUUCUCACAAUUACGUACUUUCUUAGUUGCAUUUCUUGAUCAUUGUGUCUGUCUUUGUGUGUCAUCGGACAGCAGGCCUGUAUGAUUAUGGAAUACAUUAUAGAGGAUUAUUUUUGCUGUGGCUUCACAAAUAGAGAAAACUUGAUUUUAUUGGAAGAGUCGCAACAUAAACCUAUGUCUCCGGACUCUUGAGAGAACGUUAUGCAGAAACCAGUUGUGGCAGAGACACAACAAAACAGAUGAAGCCGAAGUGGCAUAUUUUAUACACCAGCAGCUUCAGACAUCGGGAUGACAACAUGGCUAUCAGUGGAUGCAGUAGAAUGUUGGCAUGCGGGGUGCGCGCAACCCCGGGAGAUGCUCGAGGCAAUGGAGCGCUCAGUGGCCACCUUGGAAAUCGGCAGGGGUGAUCAUCGAGAGUUUCCCCGGCCUCCACUGCUGUGGCACAUGGACCAGCAUUCUCAUGGGGAGAGGAGGCUCACCACCAACUGCUCCGCCUACUGAGCUGGACCCCACCGCCAACUAACGAGUCGACAAGCCCUGGCUCGCAGGCUGUGCUCUCCACACAGCAACUCCUCCCAGCUCCCCGACCAUCCUUGUGGAGGUAAACGGCAGGCCAGUCUCAGCCCUCCUGGACUCUGGAAGCACCAUAACCCUGGCCCGUGCCUCCAUGCUAUCACCCCCACCUAAGGCAGAGGUGCGUGCUGCUAGAGUCAGAGUCAAACAUCAGGCCGAGGAGUGACCGCUCCUCGUGGGCCUCAUCCCAGAACUCCCCGUGCCUCUGCUCCUGGGUUGAGACUGGCUGGGGUUCUCCACUGCCAGGGCAUCGAGACCUCCUCGGAGACGGAGGCCCAGAGUGAUGUGGCCGUGGCCUUUGCCCAGGGCAAAGGUGACGCCGGGGUGACCUCAUCAGGUGAGACCCCCACUCCUACUAACCCUGUCUCCUCUGUGUUUUUGCAGGUCACCCAGGAGGGGAACUUCGAGUGGGAACAAAAGGAGGACAACAGGCUGAAGCACUGUUGGGGCCAGGUGCAAGUCAUCGAAUGACUCCAGCAGGACCCAGAGUGGACACUCCCAGCUGCAUACUUCCUGGUGCACUGGGGCCUUUUAUACUUCCGGACGGAGAGCCGAGGCCAGCCCUGUGAAGUGCUGGUGGUCCUCCACAGCAAGACCCAAGCCACGUGUUCUGCCAGCGGUGCCCACAGUGUCAGAGGACCACGCGUUAUAAGCCGGCACCAGCUCCCCUCAUUCCUCUCCCUAUCAUCGGCAUCCCUUUCGAGCAGAUAGGCAUGGACCUCGUGGGGCUGCUGCAGAAGUCAUCACCAGACAGCUCCCCCUCAUCUUCAGCCACAUCGGGAUUCCUAAGGACGUCCUCACCAACCAAGGUACGCCCUUUAUGUCCAAGCUAAUGGUGGAUCUGUGUCGGUUGUUGCAGGUAAAGCACCUAAGGACAUCCAUCUACAACCCCCAGACUGAUGGCCUCGUGGAGUGCUUCAACCAGACUCUCAAGAGCAUGCUGUGGCAUGUGGUAGAAGAGGAAUGGAGGAACUGGAACCUUAUCCUUCUGUACAUCCUCUUCACUGUCCAAGACACUCCACAGGCGUCCACCGGCUUCAUCCCCUUCGAGCUCCUCUUCAGACCUUGAGGACUGCUGGAUGUGGCCCAGGAGGCCUAGGAAGAGCAGCCUUCCCCAUUCCGUUCCCUCAUGGAAUAUAUACAAGAAAUGCAGGAUUGAAAUGACCAUGUCAUCUCCAUUGUCCUGGAGUAUAUGGAGGCCGCCCAAUGGGAACAACAAAGGGUCUACAAACAGCCUGCUCAGCCCAGAGAGUUCCAGCCUGGGGACCAGGUCCUCCUCCUCCUUCCCAGUGCCUCCUGCAAGUUCCUGGCCCACUCGCAGGGUCUGUACAUGGUCCUCAAGAAAGUGGGUCCCGUUACUUUACCACUUCAAUCUACUGAAAAAAAUGGGUCGAACCAGCUCCUGUGGUGUCUGUGUUUGAUAGUCUUCCCACAGGUCCACCCGAGCAUACCUUGGUCCACCAAGGAGAGGAGCUCACCCCGACGCAGAGCGAGAAGCUAUCUGAGUUGGUGGACCAGUUUGCUGAUGUCUACUCUCCUCCACCACGGACCUAACAAAUCUGGUCCACCACGACAUCAAGACCGCACCGAGAGUUGUGGUUAGACAGCAGCCCUACCGCAUCCCAGAGGCACACCAUAAGGCUAUAGAGGAGGAAGUCAGCCGUAUGCUCUGGGACGGGGUGAUUCAGUAGUCUGCCAGCAUCUGGUCCAGCCCCAUUGUGGUGGUCCCCAAGCCUGACGGAAGCAUCUGCCUUUGUAACGACUUCCGGCGGCUCAACCAGGUCUCAGACUUUGACAGCUACCCCCUCCCCAGGGUUGACGACCUGGUGGAGCGACUGGGGAGAGAACCCUCAACCUCACCAAGGGGUAUUGCAAGUGGACCUCAGCCCAGAGGCCAAGCCAAAGAUGGCCUUCACCACCGCCAGCAGCCACUGGCAGUACCAGGUUCUCCUCUUUGGCCUGCACAGAGCUCCAGCCACAUUCCAACACCUAAUGGACAUUAUCCUGUGGCCACAUCGUCAGUUUGCAGCCGCCUACCUGGACAAUGUUGUCAUUCACUCCUCCACAUGGUGCGACCACCUCUACCACCUUGGGGAGGUCCUGGGAGAGAUCCAGAAGGCUGGCUUGACUGUCAAUCCCAGGAAGUGUCAUCUGGAUCAGCUGGGUGCUUCUAAAGCCACAGGAGAAGAAGGUGGAAGCAGUUAAGGAAUAUCCCCGGCCCGCAACGAAGAAACAGAAGCCGGCGUCAGCGAGGACAAAGAGGCUGGACCCCUGCACGCCAACCCUUGCCUACCCUGAGAGCAACCGCCGUGCCUCCUGGGUCCCGCCGCAAUGCUGCUGCCCUAUGUCCACCGCGCCCAGCUCUGGGACAACCGUGGCCUCAUCUUUCUGCACCACCCACCCUCACCUUCACACAAGCCUUUCCCAUACACCAGCGCUUAAAAUAAAGAGCACUUUCCCCCCCA
Long non-coding RNA from Pangasianodon hypophthalmus (striped catfish), 3488 nucleotides. RefSeq lists it as uncharacterized. The record is from RefSeq and is a predicted model, not a curated record. The transcript has 2 exons. NCBI's taxonomy places the organism in Eukaryota, Metazoa, Chordata, Actinopteri, Siluriformes, Pangasiidae.